GUGUCAGCAGCCGCGGUAAGACGGAGGGUGCUAGCGUUGUUCGGAAUUACUGGGCGUAAAGGGCGCGUAGGCGGCCGCUCAAGUCGGGUGUGAAAGCCCGGGGCUCAACCCCGGAACUGCACUCGAGACUGUGUGGCUGGAGAUCGGAAGAGGAGAGUGGAACACCCAGUGUAGAGGUGAAAUUCGUAGAUAUUGGGUAGAACACCGGUGGCGAAAGCGGCUCUCUGGUCCGAUUCUGACGCUGAGGCGCGAAAGCGUGGGGAGCAAACAGGAUUAGAUACCCGCGUAGUCC
RNAcentral lists this ribosomal RNA (292 nucleotides) under uncultured bacterium. RNAcentral's name for it is "partial 16S ribosomal RNA". It matches the Rfam family "Bacterial small subunit ribosomal RNA", at positions 505 to 796 of the family's 1533-position model. The record is from RNAcentral.